This is a long non-coding RNA of Physcomitrium patens, 2326 nucleotides long. RefSeq lists it as uncharacterized. The record is from RefSeq and is a predicted model, not a curated record. NCBI's taxonomy places the organism in Eukaryota, Viridiplantae, Streptophyta, Bryopsida, Funariales, Funariaceae.
GAAAACCAAACGUUUACUGCAGCUCCAUCGUGAGCUACACACAGCGUGGAUCUCUCUGUCUUGAGCGAGCGACUGUUGUUGUUGUUGUUGUUGUAAUAUUAUGUGUGUUUGUGUUUAAGUUGCUCCGCGAAUUCCAUGACAAAAUGGCGUUGAGGGAUGAAGUCGUCCGUUGCAUGGGGAACCGGCUCACCUGUGUCGCGCUUGCAGAGAAGUGCGCUUGAAAGGGUGCGCAGAGUGUGGAGCCAGUUGUUUCGCUGUUCCGGUUCAGAGGUGUUUGAGAAGCCGGUGACUGUUCGGGCUCUCCGAAGGGAUUGAGCUUUGACGUCAAGAAGAGUUCAGUGCUGGUCCAUAUUCUGGUGUCUGGAGAGUAAUCCGAGAAUUUUUCCCUGUUGAACUGCGAGGAUCUGACCAAGCACCAUGAGCUUGCCUUGGUCAAGGCCAUGGUGAGUGUGUGUAUCUUGGUCGUUCUGUCUCCGAGGCUUUUUUUUGUUUUUGCAACCGAAGCAACGUUGCAGACUCUUGUGAGGCGUGCGCAACUCUGGCAGUGUGGAAAGGCAGUACGGAGUACUUGUUGAAAAAUUGUGGACACAUCAAUAGCCUAUGGAAUAAUCUUCCAUCCUACUGUCCUUCAGUCAUUUGCGAACUAUCGCUGAGUCUUAUUGUUUGAGGUCCUCAUGGAAUCUGCAUCAUUAGUGACACCAACAGACUGUCCUUGGACUUGCAUUAUCAUUCUGCUUUUUAUGGCAUAGCCAGACACGAUUUUGGCCAACGUGACGACGAACGGGAUGUACUUGGCAUUUCCUGACCAAGCUCUAGAGGAGGCUAAUUGCAACUUUACUGAAAUUUCUGGAAUUCCUGUUAUUGAUGAACGUCACAGAUGUCCUGGAAUAUUAUCCAAGAAGGAUGGUUGAAAGCGUCUGAUAUGUUCCCGUAUUCAAGCUGAAAAACGAGAUCUACCGUAUUCCGAUGGUCAACGACCAAGAGCAGCAGGCUGUCAGUAAAUGCGGCCCUCGUUUGAAUUUCUGAGAGGUGUUGUGACAAGAACCGACACUUUUUUCCGAAUUAGAAGUGGUCGUUUGAGUGAUCUCGGAGCGAUUGUUGAAUAGUUUGUCGGUAUUGAGUCGGAAACUUCGAGCGGUUAAUACUGUGCUAGACCACCCACCAGCAAAGGUAUUUGAGAUCAAGUAUACUGAGUGUUUGACAACUGAGUUCGCCGAAUUUCCCGAGCGUAUGUCCAGUAUUUACAACCGCCUCAAGGGCUUUCUUCUUUAUUCAUGUCGAGUUUGACUUUCAGGUCUAGGAGUCUUGUGGCCUAAUUCAGAGCUUUUAAAAAAAGAUUAGCUCUUUGAUUUAGUUUUUCAAUAGUCUCUAUACUGAUGGAGAAUACCGCACGAAUGCUCGUCAUGAGUUCUGUUUUCAAUUGAUUGCAAUCGGUUCUCGGAUCAAACCUGUGUUAUCAAUGACCAACUUUGAUUGUCGUACAUUUACAACUAUUUCAAUGCGCCCUGUGCUACACAACCGCCAUCCUGAUUCCUUCGUCCUCGGUAGUCAUCACGCUGCAGGUUAAGGCUAGCUAACCCUGAGGCUGUAGCUCGCCUUCAAAUCCAGUGACAUGACUCUAACAACUCUAAAAAAUCAAAUUAACUUUUUUUAUCACAUCACCAGUUGAUAACAGAGUGAGGCAAACUGCCUCACUCACGUCCUUGACUGGAUCGGCUAUACACCAUUAGUUCUCAAUUAGCAAGCAGCAACCCAAUCAGGGGUGCAUGGUGAAGACGUUGAUACCUACAUUGCUUAAAUUGAGAAGAAAAUUGCUAAGCUUGAAGUUGGCUGUGUGAAUUUAGGUAUGUGUAGAUUGACAUUUCGUGCCACAGUAUUGGAACAGUAAGGCAGUUUCUUGUGGAGCACCUUGAGAAUUACAUGACUUGUAGUUUCCCAUGCUCGCCCUGGAUGACUCCAGCAUAUUCCAAGUCAACCUUCUGAAGAUAAGGCAAGCAUGUAAAGGAAACAACAGUGGAUCUGGAAAUAACAGCUUGGAUCCAUUAUUUGAAUAACUAGUUUAUUUGUUCCCUGGUUUAACAACGUUAUUGUAUAAGAAUAUCUGUCAAACCUCCAGCUGAGGCUCCUCUUUCCAAUCCAGACAUGAGCACGAGUCUUAUUAGAACCAUAGGGAGCUCAACUUCCUUCACAUUCGUGCUCCUGCUGAUUGAAUGUUAUCUCUCACACUCCUUUAAAGGAAUGUGUAAUUGGUACAAAAGAAGAAACGCAUUCAAUAACAAGUAUGCGUUUUCUAGGGACAAAUAAUUAUAUUAUGAACAUCAAAGAA